GAGGGCGUAGCUCAGUAGGUAGAGCAACGCACUUUUAAUGCGUAGGUCCUGGGUUCGAGCCCCAGCCCCCUCA
Molecule: non-coding RNA, 73 nt
Organism: Planctomycetes bacterium GWC2_49_10
Lineage: Bacteria; Pseudomonadati; Planctomycetota
Source: Rfam